GCUACUACCGAUUGAAUGAAUUAGUGAGGCCUUUGGAUUUAGAAGCGCUUUUUCAGUAUUUAUAUUGAAAGACGUUUUUGAAGAAGAUGGCCAAACUGUUUUAUUUAGAGGAAGUAAA
RNAcentral lists this ribosomal RNA (118 nucleotides) under Ostracoda sp. DC-2019. Its description in RNAcentral is "partial small subunit ribosomal RNA". It matches the Rfam family "Eukaryotic small subunit ribosomal RNA", at positions 1678 to 1786 of the family's 1831-position model. The record is from RNAcentral. Lineage: Eukaryota; Metazoa; Arthropoda; Ostracoda.